Molecule: non-coding RNA, 85 nt
Organism: Felis catus (domestic cat)
Lineage: Eukaryota; Metazoa; Chordata; Mammalia; Carnivora; Felidae
Source: Rfam
GCCUGGGUGGCUCAGUCGGUUGAGCGUCCGACUUCGGCUCAGGUCAUGAUCUCGCGGUCCGUGAGUUCGAGCCCCGCGUCAGGCU